UACGAAUGGGGCAAGCGUUGUUCGGAAUAACUGGGCUUAAAGCGUGCGUAGGCGGAUCUGCAAGUCAGAAGUGAAAGCCCCGGGCUUAACCCGGGAAUUGCUUUUGAAACUGCAGAUCUAGAAACCGGGAGAGGUUGGCGGAAUUCCGAGUGUAGAGGUGAAAUUCGCAGAUAUUCGGAGGAACACCAGUGGCGAAGGCGGCCAACUGGACCGGCAUUGACGCUGAGGCACGAAAGCGUGGGCAGCAAACAGG
This 253-nucleotide ribosomal RNA is filed under the name uncultured bacterium. RNAcentral describes it as "partial 16S ribosomal RNA". It matches the Rfam family "Bacterial small subunit ribosomal RNA", at positions 524 to 776 of the family's 1533-position model. The record is from RNAcentral.